CAACGCCGCGUGGAGGAUGAAAUACCCUUCGGGAGUGUAAACUCCUUUCCGAUCGGGACGAUUAUGACGGUACCGGAAGAAGAAGCCCCGGCCUAACUUCGUGC
This 104-nucleotide ribosomal RNA is filed under the name uncultured bacterium. RNAcentral describes it as "partial 16S ribosomal RNA". The record is from RNAcentral.